This 2333-nucleotide long non-coding RNA is filed under the name Canis lupus familiaris (dog). Its description in RNAcentral is "lncRNA (ENSCAFG00845009428.1)". The record is from RNAcentral. Lineage: Eukaryota; Metazoa; Chordata; Mammalia; Carnivora; Canidae.
GAGUACUUUAAAUUUUAUCCAAACUUUUUUUUUCUCAUCUUGGUCUGAAAGUCUCACUUCUCUAAUAUUUUUACUUCUCUAAUUCUCUGGCUAGUACUGGUUAACAGUGAUACCAUGGCAUUUAGCAGUUAUUAUGAUUUCUAUUCUAAUAUUUUAAUGCCAGCUGAUUUAAAAACCUGUUUUGAGGGAUCCCUGGGUGGCGCAGCGGUUUGGCGCCUGCCUUUGGCCCAGGGCGCGAUCCUGGAGACCCAGGAUCGAAUCCCACGUCGGGCUCCCAGUGCAUGGAGCCUGCCUCUCCCUCUGUCUAUGUCUCUGCCUCUCUCUCUCUCUGUGACUAUCAUAAAUAAUAAAUUAAAAAAAAAACAUAAAACCUUUAAAAAAAAAACUGUUUUGAUUGUAUACAUUUUGCUUCUAAAAUCUCAGGUUAUCUCCUGAACACUUUUGGAUCACUUUGACUUUUAUACCCCAAACAGUCCUUAGAGUAAAUUUCUAUUUACAUAGAGCUCAAAGAGAAGAUUGGAUAACCGAAUUUUUUCCCUCAAAAUACUUUGUAUAAUAAUUUAUUGUUACACUAACACCCAGUUCUGUAAGUACAUUUUAUGCUGUCAAAAAAAAAAAAUAGAAUCUGAUUGGUGUGUCUCAUAUAGAAUGUAUUUUAUGGAUGUCUUCUACUUUUGUAAUUUCAAAGUUCAGCGCUUUUUAGUUCAUGUGUUCUAGUUUUGAGCAUAUUCAAUGGACUGAAGUGCUCCAUUUUUUAGAGAUAGGAAAUUUACAAAAUUUCUGGCAUCUUAAAGACGUAUAUUGGGCAAAGUUUCUAAGAAAAUAAACAAUUUUUCUUCCUCUGGAAGAAAAAACUCUAUUCCAUAGGUUUCCAGGGAAAACAGUUACCCCAAUUUCACAUUGAGGCUAUAUUUUUAAAAAUCAGUGCUUUCCAGGGGUACUUGGGUGGCUCAGUUGUUAUGCAUCCGAUCUUGCUCUUAGCUAGGUCUCAAUCGACAGGUCAUGAGUUUGAGCCUCUUGCUGGGCUCCACACUGGGCAUUGAGCACACUUAAAAAAAAAAUCAAUGCUUUCCAAUAAAUUUUUAUCAAUAAUCUUUAAGUUAGACAUGAGACACUUGAUCCAGACUUUCAGAUUUACUCAGUUUGUCUAACCUCAAAACUAGUUGGUCUAAAAAUGAUAUGCAUUAUCUCAAGAAGUUUCAGCAAACUUCACUUAAGAAUUCUAUCACAAUGCUGCUGCUUCUAGAGGAGUAUUUCAUGGAUUUUAGAAUGGGAAAUGUUAAAGCAUUCACCUUGCAGAUUUGUGUUUAAGAUUAAUUUAAGAAUAUAUCCUUAAAUUUUUAUGCAUAUAAUUUAUAUAAUUUGUAAUGUAAAUUUAUGUAGCUCAUAAGUAUAUAAUGUCUAUGAUUUAUUUCAAUUUAAUAAGAAUUAAUAUAUUUUACGUUAUUGGGGCAAUAGUAAGGAAAUUUGUAGAUAGCUUCCUUCUAAAAUAAUUUGUUAUUUACAUUGUUUGGAAAAUACAACAGAAUAUGUACAAUGGAAAAGCUAUCUCAUAAUACCUAAGGCAAAUUUUAUUCUUAAAAAAAGUGUAUCUUGAGAUCCCUGGGUGGCUCAGCAAUUUAGCACCGCCUUCAGCCCAGGGCGUGAUCCUGGAGACCCGGGAUUGAGUCCCACUAGGGCUCCCUGCAUGGAGCCUGCUUCUCCCUCUGCCUGUGUCUCUGCCUCUCUCUUUCUCUGUGUCUCUCAUAAACAAAUAAAUAAAAUCUUUAAAAAAAAAGUGUAUCUUGAGUAACUAUGCUAAAGUAUUACCUGGUAAUCUUUUAGAUGAGCUUCAAAAUUACUUUUAUGAUGGGAGAAUAAUGUUUGCAUUUUGUAUGAAACUAAUUGGGAAAACAGACCUUGUUUAUACCGUCAAGGGGAAAAAGGCUUAUAGAGUAUGUAUGCUCUGAAUUUUUGCAAGUAACAGACUUCUGAUUUGUAUGCAAUUGUACUUUUACAUUUUAGUGUGAGAAAUGAAAAUUAUCCCAAGUAAUACAAUAUUUGUCUAUUUUAAAAUGCUGCCAAUCUUGGUAAAAUGCCCUCUAAAUCUUCCUGGAUUUGGAACCCAGCAGGUGACUCCUACUCUUCCUCCCGAUUCUCCCAUUCCGUAAGAUUUCUUUAACUUGAGUGUGUGUUGCCUCACUGUGUACUUCUGGCCCUGGGCUUGCUCAAGCAAAGGCAAAGCCUAUAAUUUGUUUCCCUUAACAGAGCUGAGGCAGACUGGGUUUUCAAAAACAACUUUACCCAAUACACGUAGAAAACAAAAGAGAAAUUUGAAAGGGGAAUUUGAAAAA